Long non-coding RNA from Catharus ustulatus (Swainson's thrush), 2830 nucleotides. RefSeq lists it as uncharacterized. The record is from RefSeq and is a predicted model, not a curated record. The transcript is spliced from 3 exons. NCBI's taxonomy places the organism in Eukaryota, Metazoa, Chordata, Aves, Passeriformes, Turdidae.
CUAGCCCUGAAAAGCUCUGCUCCAAAAUUAAGAGUUUUUGAUGGUUUCUUUACAGUAGAAGCUAAAAUUGCGACUACAGUGACAGAAAAGGGAAUUUCACCAUGAUGUGACUGUGAACACACAGAGAACUCUAAAGAGAAUUCCACAUCCCAAAGUAGAGCAGAUAUAAUUGUGAUAAUGCUCACUGUGACAUUUGACUUCUUGGUACCCAACUCCCAAACUGCAACCUGCAACCUUCUGUUACAAAGCAUGGGAUGAGCUGGGUAAUCCAGCUUAAAACAGAAUUCCAAUCAGCCUGCAAAAAUGCUGAAAGAAAGGUUUAACUUUUGUGAUGUCCUUUACCAGGAUUUAGACCCAUAAGUUCUGGUAAUGUAAAGGUGCUCAGGUCAGACAAUGACCCACAAAAGCUUCUAGAGGCAACUAAGAAUUCUUUUUUUAAAGAACAAGAGUGAGGCUCUUCCCUGAAAACCCAGUAAAAAUAGAAGGUAACAGCAGAACCCCUUUCUUCACAGAAUCCUUUAGGAUUCUUUAGAACAGGAAUAGUUCAAAAGUUAGAGCCAGGUGCUGCUGCUAUUUCACACUCACUGGGAGAGACAAAAAUAUGAUUUGACACACUUAAGCCCCUGCAUCUCCAUCCUUUAAAGCAGUCCCUUAACAACCUGAUGUCCAGCUGUCAGUGCCUUCUGGGAAAUGAGAUGCAGCCUGGAAAACCUUGAGAUUGAGAAAAGUACCUGCUGCUAUAAAAUGGGGAGAACAGCUUCUCUUCUUCCUUCUCUCUGUAAACCAAAGUGGCCACAGCUGCUUGUUUUUGCAGAGCUGAGUUCUUCUGAAACAUUUCCCAUGCCACUUUGAUAAAGAAAUACUCUGGGGUCCUGCUAGGCCUCUUUAUUCCUCAAGUAACACAUUGUUCCUUUUUUGGGGCUCCUUUGUCCAGACAAACUCGAGAUUUUUCUUUUCCAGUGCCCAAUUUUCCACAAUGCCCACCCAGAGGGCUGCUAUGCUGGCUUAGGAGAAAAGACAGGAAAUAAACCUCCCUCUGAUUAGGAAAAAGUGACCUGUUCUACUUUAAAACUACAACACAUUGGCAAAGCGACAGCAGAAAGGCAAAUCCAAGUUUUAAUUGCUCUGGCAAAGAAAGGAACACAAGGCCUUCUCCAGGGAUGUCAGUCAUGGCAGUUAAUUAGUUCAAAUGGGAAGAACUAAUAGACCUUUCAGGGGGAAAAAGCAUUUUUGUGUGGCGGCAAAAGAGCACAUGUGAGACUCACCAGGGUCUGUAAGCAGCGGAAUUUCUCUGUUUGCAGUACAUUUGCUGCCAUAGUUUGAAAUAAGCAGCACAGCUGAUGACUGGGAGUCUGAUGCAAUGUUCUUACACCAAAUGUUAAAGCCACUUGCCAAGUUUUUCUUUCCCAAAGCACCUUCUACCAGUAAAAUGCCUAUUUCAAUCGUCGGGGGCGGGAGGAAAAUCUUUGUCUGCACUAUGAUUUUUCUUACAAUCCUAAAUGGAAUGCUGGAGAAGGCAAAGCAUGGCAGCACUACAAGAUGCUCGGUUUUUCUUUUUUUUUUGCUUAUAAAUGUACAUCCCACUUGUAGCCUAGCAACAAAAGCAGCAGCCUGGGUGAGAUGAGCCUGCUGCUGGGGCUCUCUCCUCAAAACAGGAGCCAUCUUUGGCGUGUAACUUGACCAGAGAUUUCAUCAUUCUGCAUUAAAGCCAGUUCCAGAUGUUAGAGGUCUCUGCAGCCAGCUCAGCUCUGUCAGCUUUGCUUUGCCACCUCCUCUCCUGCUGCAUGAGGCACGUCCAGAGAUGCUGCACGUGUUCAACUCAACUUCACAUUAAGGAAAACAAACCUCCUUUGCCAGCCAAGGUGUCUGACCUUGGAGUUAUUUGGCGUGUUCCUCCCCUGGAAAUGAUGAUCCUGCAGCAGGGAGGCUCGUCUCUUGCAGGCCUGGGAUCUGUGCGGCUGUCACGCAAUCCCUGUGACACAGACAGCCCUGCUCAGGGGACAGACUGCUCAGGGACAGCAAUUCAAAGCUGCUGGCACCCAGUAAGGACGUUCUGGAUGCAGCUGUGGAGGAGGAAACUGGCACAGGGACAAAUGGUGACCUCCCUGCUGUCCUUUUCCUCCUUUCUGUUAUUCCCAGGGAUGGGUGGGCUGCUGUGACAGUAGAAACACUUUGGAAUUUCAAACCUUCUAGUUUGUUUUCUUUACUUCCCCUGAGGUUCACAUCAGUCCUGUGCCACCUGCUCACUCAUGCCCAGGGUCUGCUAAUUCCCGGUGUCCUGGGUGGGCACAGGGGGAGCACCGUGAUGGGAAUCCUUGGGAUUGGCAGGGCCACAACUGGGGUGGUACCGGCUGGGGGCCGGGGCAGGCUGAGCCAUCCCAAAUCCCAAAUCCCAUCCCAUCCCAUCCCAAAUCCCAUCCCAUCCCCUGGGAGCAGUGGGACACUGCAGACACCACGGUGCUGCAGCUCCUUUACAGCACACAAAUGGAGCUCAUUCAGCUCUUCUGUGGACCAGAAUAACACAGAGACAGACUGCAAAUGCCAUCUAUAGCCCAGCCCAGCUCCUCUGUUGAAAUUCCAGUUGUAAGGUCCCUGCUCUGUCCACAGGUCUCAUCCCUGGAGGAGUGGCAGCUGUGCAAACAGAGCAAUCCUGGUCUUCAGCUCUUUGGAUACAGGACUGACCUCCCUCUCCCUGCUCAUUGCAGGAUACUGAAUGGGAAUUUCUUAUUAAAAAACUGUGACUCUACCCAAGUAUCGAUGUUUGUGGAGUUGCACUUACUGAUGAAAGCUUUGCUGUUGAUACUCAACUUCUAUGAAAUUAUAUAUAUAU